GGGGAUUUUAUGAAUGUAUGAUUGAUAAUGAAUCAAGAAUAAUAAUAAAAUAAAAUAAAAGAUAAAUCAAAUGAUAAAAGUUCUGAUUGAAGGAUUAAUUCAAUUUUAAUUCAACUAUUUAUCAUCGAUGCAAGGAUAAAAAUUACUACUCAUGAAUGAAUUGGAUAUAGCUAUUACAAGCUCUAAUAGGUAAUCUCUCUUUAAUUUCUUGAUAACUAAAAUAAGCUCUUUGAUUACUUCUCUAAUCAAAAGACAACUCUAGACAAGCUCUUACGAUUUAAUCUAUUAACAACAUUAGAAACUAGAGCGAUCCUAUUUUAAUUAACAAACACACAAGCUCAGUUCAUUUAAAUUAGAUUGUUUAUUCUCAUAACAUAAUAUACAGUUAUGUUAUUUGCCACAAUUAUCCAAAUAUUCAUACAAUUAAAGAUAUGAGAUUUUGAUUAGCAAUAUACUAAGUUGAUAAUUAAACAACAGCCAAUUAUUUAAUUAACAAAAAUAGUCAUCUCAAGAUUGCAGAGAAUACACAAAUACAUAAGAGCUGUAAAAUAAAUAAAGCGUAAAUUAGAUCUCAUAAUAGAUGUAAAAUCAAAUCUUCAUUAAUCUUCAACUAGAAUAAAAAGUGUUUAGCUCCUCACAAUAGAGAAAAAUACUGCUAGAAAAGAAAAAAACUUUUUAUGUCUAUUCAAUGAUAAUCAAAUUUCCUAAUAUUUAUUAUAAUAUAUAGCCCUAGAAAGAUAAUCUAAAAUCUCUGAAAAGAUUUUACCAAACAUAAAUCAAAGUAAAGAUCAUAUUUUCCACUUAAAAUAGGAGUUCUAAAAAGAGAAUAACAUCUAUUAAAAUAAAGAAAUAAAUAAAAUAUAAUUGUCUCUUAAUUAAGCUGAAAUUCAUACUAGAAAAUAGGUUGGAAUUUGCAAGUCUCCUAGCUGACAGAGUGUGCCCACGCUUUAUCAACAGAGUUCUUUUGUCAAAAUAUUGAAACUUCUUUUGAAAUCUUGAUAAGUUGUUAAAUCAUUCUCAAUUAUAAUCUUUAAGCUCAUUUUAUUACUAACAAUCAAAUUGCACCUGUAAAAUUAAAACACAAGUUAAAAAUUAUUCACAAGUUAAAAAUUAUUCUUAAGUGAAAAACAUCGAUAAAAUUAAGAAGAAAUAUUACAAUAUUAAUGAUAAUAUUUAUUCUAACACAAACAAUAUGGGCAUAAUAAAUCAGAUUGCAAAAAUAAGUCAAACGCAACCUUCAAUGGUCUGAGUAUAAAAACUCUUUUUUCACUAUCAGAACAUAGAGAACAUGUUAGUUACUUGGCUGUUAAAUAUUUAUAAUUUUUAGAAGUGAUUAUGUGUUGUGGUUGACCAAAAUCAAUUUGUGUAAAUGUAUGUAUUUGUCUGCAAAUUUCAUUUUUAGAAUCCAUAAAUGGUGCUAUUGGCCAAAGGAUUGGGGCUAAGAAAGCAAAAGCCAAGGAACCUACACCAACAGCUAAUCCAAAUCCCAAAACAGUCCCUAAAAAAAAAAAGGGAUCCAACUGGAAUUUGAAUUGAUAGAGAUACCAGUUUUAUUAAUGUAAAUAUUUCAUACCUCAUUUAAUGCAUUUUUUAUAAUAGCAGAAUUGAAAUUCUUGAUGUAUUUUAUAUGAAUGGUAUAUUGUUGGUGCAGGGUGAAUUAUUUAUAGAGAAAUUGAAUAAAGCUUGUUCUGAGAUUGUAUGGUUACAUGGUCUUCUUUCCGAGCUUGGAUUUCUUCAAAUUGACCCCACUCCACUUCAUGGUGAUAAUACCAGUGCCAUUCAAAUAGCUGCGAAUCCAGUAUAUCAUGAAGGCACAAAGGACAUUGAGGUGGACUGCAAUUACAUUAGAGAGGUCUUUACUUGAGGUGUUAUCACUCUUCCUCGUCUUACUAUUGAUCUUCAAAUUCUCGAUAUCUUUACAAAAGCUUUGACCUGCUAAUGACAGAAGUUUCUUAUUACCAAAUUGAUGCUGAUAGGCUUGCCCGCAUCAAUUUUAAGGGGGAUGUUAAUAUAUUCUUUUUUACUUAUUUAGUUUCUUAUAUAAUUGUAUAUCCAUUUAUUA
This is a long non-coding RNA of Ricinus communis (castor bean), 2062 nucleotides long. RefSeq lists it as uncharacterized. The transcript is spliced from 2 exons. The record is from RefSeq and is a predicted model, not a curated record. NCBI's taxonomy places the organism in Eukaryota, Viridiplantae, Streptophyta, Magnoliopsida, Malpighiales, Euphorbiaceae.